GAAUAUUUCAACUUUGAUAUUCCCAACUCUUCCGCUCAUCCUCCAUCAUCUCUCUAGAUACAGUGCAUCUCAAGUCCCGAACUCCCUGAAAAUAUCUUCGUUUAUCGAACCCAGCUUAGGGGGAAAUUGGACGUCAAUCAACAAGCUUAACUGCGCCUCAACUCCACUGUCUUAUCAGUCCUAAAGAACACACCGCUUGGGUUGGACGAGAUGCACGCAUCCCUCUGGGCAGUUCUUCUCGCAGCAAUUUUGGUGCUCCAAUCAACUUGCAGAGCCGCACCUCACCUGCCAACGGAGCAUCGCCACGGUGCAGAAUUCGGCCAUCGCGUGCCAAGGAACAUAGUCGAUGGCCAAAGUUUCUUGACCGAAUUUUCGAAAAAGGAGUUCUCUGAAGCUGAAGCCCAUUGCAAAGAGAAAGGUCACUUUGCAACUUUCAAUAGAGCAGCUCAACGAUACAUGUGUAUCAUACUACAAUUAUAAAAACCAUUUAAGGUAAUGCAUUUAAUUCACAUGUUGUGGGCCUUGUUGGUUAUUAUAUCCAAAUGUAACUUACGAGUUAAUUAAAUAAAAUGUUAAUUUAUUACAAUUCAAGUUAA
This is a long non-coding RNA of Cloeon dipterum, 596 nucleotides long. RefSeq lists it as uncharacterized. The transcript is spliced from 2 exons. NCBI's taxonomy places the organism in Eukaryota, Metazoa, Arthropoda, Insecta, Ephemeroptera, Baetidae. The record is from RefSeq and is a predicted model, not a curated record.